GGAGAUCUGUGUGAAAAUGUAAAAUGUGCUCUCUCUCUCUUUUUCCCCUCUCUUUGCCCUAAACGCAGGGUAACACAUGAUCUAUGACAUUCUAUCGACACGGUCUUCUCCUCUGGAAGACCGUCAGGCGAACAGAAACAUGGCUCGAUCUUUUUCUAGUGGAUAUUUUUACCAUGAACAGAAAGGAUGGCUGCAGCAAGACUACAUGGAAAAAAGGCUUGAGUCCCAAAUGGCAUUAUGUUCCCUAUGUAGUACACUACAUUUGGCUGGAGCCCUGGUCAUAAAGUAGUGCUCUAUAUAUAUAUAGAAUAGGAUACCAUUUAAGAUACAACCAAUGCUUUUGAUUUAUUUUAUUGCAUUGUACUGUUCCAUAGAGCAAUUGAAGGACAAAUUGCUAGUAAACUAUUUUUUUUAACCUUUAUUUCACUUGGCAAGUCAGUUAAGAACAAAUUCUUAUUUUCAAUGACGGCCUAGGAACAGUGGGUUAACUGCCUGUUCAGGGGCAGAACGACAGAUUUGUACCUUGUCAGCUCGGGGAUUCGAACUUGCAACCUUUCGGUUACUAGUCCAACGCGGGAACUUUAUAUGAUAACAUUUAAUAUAUUAUUUACAGCAUUACUCUUACUUUUAUUUAAUUUAUGAAAAACAAUUUCAUCAUUCUGGAAAUUUUUGUUUAGCUUAAGACAAAAAACAAAUAGGAAAACGUAUUCAAGUCUUUUUACUCAAUUUCUGUCUGAGAGGUGUCUGUCCCAUUGAAUAGCCUCUUCCUGUUGUCAUUUUCCCAUCAGCCACUUCAGGAUUACGGUAUCCAUAUUAGGAUAGAGUCACAAGGCGUUACUCCUAGUUAGGACACUGUACAGGGUAGCACUUCCUCUCAGAAAAGGAACACAUCCACAGUAACUUUGAGCUGCGAAAUGACAUAGACAAACUGUCUACAUUGUCCAUAUAUUUGAAUAACAAGUCAAAUUUGAAGUUGAAAGUUAGUCGAAAUUUGAAAGACCAAAUAGUUUGCGAUAGCUAGCUGUGCUCUGAGACUUUUCCCAGUCAGGACUGGACAAUAAAGGGCCUCUGUGUACUGGUUGUAAACAUAGAGGGAUUCAAGGCUUGAGUCCCAAAUUACACCCUAUUCCCUAUGUAGUGUACUACUUUUGACCAGGGCCCCAUAGGGAACAGGGUACCCUUUUGGGACUCCUCUCAAGGUGACCUUCAUUUAGCCAAAUGUGCUGACGAGAGAGCCGGUGUGUCUGUGAGAUAAUGGGAUAUUGGGUUUUACUAAUGAGAGAUCACUGUGCCAUUAAAAGGGUUGGAGCACCCAACCACCCAAUGAAUGUGGCCUUCAACACCUGUUAUGGAUUAAAGGCUAUGGUUAUAACCUGUUAUAGAUUAAAGGCUAUGGUUAUAACCUGUUCUACAUGAUAUGCUAUGGUUAUAACCUCUUAUGGAUGAUAUGCUAUGGUUAUAACCUCUUAUGGAUGAUAUGCUAUGGGUAUAACCCAUGGGUAUAACCCUAACUCAGGUGAGUUGGGUGCAGGCUGGGCUGAGGUGAGGUGGAGACAGGCAGAGUUAGAGACAGAUAGCAGGCUGGGCUGAAGUGAGGUGGAGACAGGUAGAGUUAGAGACAGAUAGCAGGCUGGGCUGAGGUGAGGUGGAGACUGAGGUGAGGUGAGGUAGAGACUGAGGUGACAGUGAGAGCAGGUAUAGUUAGAGACAGAUAGCAGGCUGAGGUGAGGUGGAGACUGAGGUGAGGUGGAGACUGAGGUGACAGUGAGAGCAGGUAUAGUUAGAGACAGAUAGCAGGCUGAGGUGAGGUGGAGACUGAAGUGAGGUGGAGGCUGAGGUGACAGUGAGAGCAGGUAUAGUUAGAGACAGAUAGCAGGCUGAGGUGAUAGAUAGAUAGAUAGAUAGAUGGUGGUUCCUAACUGUUACGUGGUCGUGUAUACAACAGUACUAGUUAUAAUACAAGGAUGCGAGUUUUUCCCCACUGAACACUCUGAUGACUGUUGGGAAGGUGAAAUAUCCAGAAAGAAAGUCCCUAAGUACAUGUAUAUUAAAUGAAUCCUUAAAAUAUUUCCAAUUUUAGAAUUGUUAACCAAAUUAGAUUUAGAGAUUGCAAUAUUAAAGUGUACAUUUUUUUUGUUUGUUAAUUUGAAGUGAAGAAUGAGGAAACGAGACAUUUUUACACACCUUAUUAUUAUAUAGAGUAAGAAAACGUCUUCUUCUCCUCCUGGCUGUUUCUACCCACAACGUUGUAUACAAUUGCUGGUUUUGUAAUGCACUGUAGAGCAAAAGCAGUUCCACUGUUCUUUUUUUUAAAUAUAUAUAUAAAGAAAUGUUAUUUCAAUGGUCUAUUCUUUUUUUUUGUUUGUUUGAUAAAUACAGUUUUGAUACAAAA
This is a long non-coding RNA of Oncorhynchus tshawytscha (Chinook salmon), 2392 nucleotides long. The record is from Ensembl. NCBI's taxonomy places the organism in Eukaryota, Metazoa, Chordata, Actinopteri, Salmoniformes, Salmonidae.